UUGGAGGAUAUAGUGGAGGAAUUUUAGAAAAUAAGGCAAGAAAGAAGUGUGGAUGAAUACCAAGAUAAAUUUGAAGACUUAAGGGUGAGAAUGGAGCAGGUAAUGCCUGAUUUGGGGGAAUCUUAUUUUUCUUUCUGGAUUUAUUGGGGGAUUAAGGGAUGAUAUAAGGUUGAUGGUGAGGAUGCUUAAACCAGUGACAUUAGCUAAUGCUUUUGAAGAAGCUAAGUUGCAAGAACAAUUGCUAGAAGUCCAAAGAAACACUACACCAUCAUUCAGAACCUAUAACAGUACCCAAAGACCUUCUCAAUUCAGUUCUUGUUCUUCUGCUACCACCAAACCAUCUCAAUACAAUUCCAGUUAUCCAUAUGCUCCUAAGCCACCAAUAAUUAAUUCCAGUAUUAGCCACAAAUCUAAUUCUGUGGGAGUUAAACCUACUCAGUCUAUGAGUGCUUCUUCUGUUAACCAAACCACCAUACAACCUAAUAGCCAACAAUUAACUAAUGAUAAAAGGCCUCUUAAGCCCUGUUUUAGGUGCGGAGAAAAAUAUUUUCCAGGUCAUCAAUGUAAGCAGAAGACUUUGAUGGCUUUGCAUGAUGAGGGAGAAGGAGAUCAAGGGGAGGAAGUUUGGCAUGAGGAUUGUGAAGGUUAUGAUGGGUUGGAUCAUGGAAUUCAAGAGGAAUUCGCACUGUCUGUGAAUGCAGUGGAGGGUUCUCAAGGGGUGGAUACAAUCAAGGUAUUGGGGUAUUGUGGGAAUAGACAAUUAGUCAUUCUUAUUGAUAGUGGAAGUACUAGUAGUUUUAUUGAAGCUAAAGUAGCAAUAGAACUGAAGCUGCCUUGUGUGCCAAUUACAACAACAGCAAUUACAGUAGCAGAUGGGAGAAAAAUUAUGAGUUCUUCUAUUUGUAAUAAUUUCACUUGGAAGAUACACAACUACAAGUUUUCUUUUACUUUUAGAACUCUGGAAUUGGGCAGUUUUGACAUGAUACUAGGGGUUGAUUGGAUGAGAAGUUUCAACCCUAUCGUGUUUGACUUUGAAGCUAGAUUGGUGAGAUUUCAAAAGGAUGGGAAAAGUGUAGAAUUGCAAGGGGUUAGUGAUGCAACAACUCCAAUGAAGCUGUUACCUUGUAGUAGUUACCACAAGCUAUUGCAGAAGCAGGGGUCAGACUUCCAAACUCCUUUAUUCAGUAUUCAGUUUUCUGAACAGCAAUAGGUAAAUUCUGAAUCUUCUGGAUGUUUUUCUUCAUCCACUUAUCCACCUGGAAUUCAAUCUCUAUUGGAUAAGUAUUCCUUCUUAUUUGUGGAGCCAAAGUCACUUCCACCAUUUCGAUCUCAUAAUCAUUCCAUCCCUCUAUUACCUACUGCACAACCUAUCAAUGUCAGGCCCUAUAGAUAUCCUCAUUUCCAGAAAACU
Molecule: unclassified non-coding RNA, 1411 nt
Filed under: Hevea brasiliensis (rubber tree)
Lineage: Eukaryota; Viridiplantae; Streptophyta; Magnoliopsida; Malpighiales; Euphorbiaceae
Source: RNAcentral